Long non-coding RNA from Astatotilapia calliptera (eastern happy), 1533 nucleotides. The record is from Ensembl. NCBI's taxonomy places the organism in Eukaryota, Metazoa, Chordata, Actinopteri, Cichliformes, Cichlidae.
GCUAUAACGAAACUGUUACCGAGGAUGAAGAUGAUGAUAAUCGUGCUCCUCUUACUCGGGGUCGGCAACCUUUCUGAUGAUGAGUGCCGUCUAAACUUUCCUCUGAAGUAAAUGUGCCAUAUGAUUGUUAGCGAUGUGCGGUGUUCCAGAUCAGCUGGCGUUCAGAUCAACUGGCGUCGGUCGAACAGAUGUGUGGCAGUCUUGCGUUUCUGGAGCUGCUACCGACAAACCAGCAAAAAAACGCCACCUGUGACACGUGUGAGGUUAUCUCAAACACACUCCGUCAGUCUCGAUGCUGGUGAUUGCAUUGCAAAUCCGUCAGCAGAUAAAUUGGAGCAGCCGGGCUACGUAAGUGUAGAGGGGCGUGUUCGCUUUGCCGUCCAGCGGGUGUGUGGACGGGAGCGUGACACAGUCGCUCCACAAAAAAAAAAAAAAAAGACACAGUCCUCCACCUCAAAUCACUACUGCGCAGACUCUGGCUCCAAAAAUGCAAGAUGGCAGCCUCCACAAGUGGGAUUUUUUUUUUUAAUGAACUUUAUUCAGAACAAUGACAAUCUCAAAGAGACAAGCGCCAUAUUAAAUCAAUCAGAACAGAAUCACAUCUCCUGUACACCACGAUGAAAUCGACAAUAACUGAAAGUAAACAUACAUACAUACACACACAUAUAUAUACAUAUAUAUGCAUAUACACAUGCAUACAUACACAUCCAUAUCCACACAGCUACAUAAUAAUAAUAUAAAAAGAUGAAUAACCAAUACAAAAAUAAAUAACAAUAAAAAAGAAUGAAAAACAAGGAACAGAAAUAAAGACGACAAGGGGGAUCAUAAAAUCUCUAAAAGUGAGGUUCCAUAAACAAGACUCAUAACUUAAAUAAGGGGCUAAGAAAAAUCAAACUCUUGUAUAAAUCUAUGCAAUUUGAUUGCUUAGGGCUUAUUUAUUAGCUUAAGAGAUUUACGGAACAGGGAGAGGUCGUUUUUAAGAGCAGGCCAUGAAGGGGGGGAUUUAGCAUAUCGGCAUUUAUGUAUGUAAUACUUUGUUAACUAAAAGCUCACUAUUUUUGUCCUUAAGGAUUACUCCAAUUUGAAUAUUUUGAAAAGACCAAAAAUCAAUAUAUCCAUACUGGGACAAUAUUAGGACAUGGAGAGAUUUCCAUAAAUUCUGGAUUGUCACACAUCCAUAGAACAUGUGCUCUGUUGUUUCUGAAAUUGUUUUACAAAUAUAACAUUUGUAUUUGUAUCUUUAUUUAUUUCAGACAUAAUAAAACAAACAAAAAAAACCAAUAUAUACUCGUCUACAUGUAUUUUCAUUUACGAAUACGAAUAUGUGUGUAGAUAUACACACAUAUUCGUAUUUGUACAGACAAACAAGAAAGAAAUAUAAUAAAAUAAAACACAUUCGUCUAACAUGAGAUAACAGUUGUUUGGUCUGAAAAGGAGUAGGAAGAAGUAUGCACAUACUUAUUAACUCCUACCCCUGCUCAACAUCUUAUUAAUCCCACAUAUUUACCUAAUUCUCCUCAUCACAUACUCCAC